RNAcentral lists this ribosomal RNA (460 nucleotides) under uncultured bacterium. RNAcentral describes it as "partial 16S ribosomal RNA". It matches the Rfam family "Bacterial small subunit ribosomal RNA", at positions 338 to 795 of the family's 1533-position model. The record is from RNAcentral.
CCUACGGGAGGCAGCAGUGAGGAAUAUUGGUCAAUGGACGAGAGUCUGAACCAGCCAAGUAGCGUGAAGGAUGACUGCCCUAUGGGUUGUAAACUUCUUUUAUAUGGGAAUAAAAUGUUCCACGUGUGGGAUUUUGUAUGUACCAUAUGAAUAAGGAUCGGCUAACUCCGUGCCAGCAGCCGCGGUAAUACGGAGGAUCCGAGCGUUAGCCGGAUUUAUUGGGUUUAAAGUGAGCGUAGGUGGAUUGUUAAGUCAGUUGUGAAAGUUUGCGGCUAAACCGUAAAAUUGCAGUUGAAACUGGCAGUCGUGAGUACAGUAGAGGUGGGCGGAAUUCGUGGUGUAGCGGUGAAAUGCUUAGAUAUCACGAAGAACUCCGAUUGCGAAGGCAGCUCACUGGACUGCAACUGACACUGAGGCUCGAAAGUGUGGGUAUCAAACAGGAUUAGAGACCCUUGUAGUC